GAUGAAGAACGCAGCGAAAUGCGAUAAGUAAUGUGAAUUGCAGAAUUCAGUGAAUCAUCGAAUCUUUGAACGCACAUUGCGCCCGCCAGUAUUCUGGCGGGCAUGCCUGUUCGAGCGUCAUUUCAACCAUCAAGCCCCGGGCUUGUGUUGGGGACCUGCGGCUGCCGCAGGCCCUGAAAUGCAGUGGCGGGCUCGCUGUCACUCCGAGCGUAGUAAUACAUCUCGCUCAGGGCGUGCUGCGGGUUCCGGCCGUUAAAAAGCCUUAUUUACCCAAGGUUGACCUCGGAUCAGGUAGGAAGACCCGCUGAACUUAAGCAUAUCAAUAAGCGGAGGA
Molecule: unclassified non-coding RNA, 334 nt
Filed under: soil metagenome
Description: partial contains 5.8S ribosomal RNA, internal transcribed spacer 2, and large subunit ribosomal RNA
Rfam family: 5.8S ribosomal RNA (bases 1-120)
Source: RNAcentral